RNAcentral lists this ribosomal RNA (81 nucleotides) under Inocybe lineata. RNAcentral describes it as "partial 5.8S ribosomal RNA". It matches the Rfam family "5.8S ribosomal RNA", at positions 77 to 154 of the family's 154-position model. Rfam says of the family: 5.8S ribosomal RNA (5.8S rRNA) is a component of the large subunit of the eukaryotic ribosome. It is transcribed by RNA polymerase I as part of the 45S precursor that also contains 18S and 28S rRNA. Functionally, it is thought that 5.8S rRNA may be involved in ribosome translocation. The record is from RNAcentral. Lineage: Eukaryota; Fungi; Basidiomycota; Agaricomycetes; Agaricales; Inocybaceae.
GAAUUCAGUGAAUCAUCGAAUCUUUGAACGCAUCUUGCGCUUCUUGGUAUUCCAAGAAGCAUGCCUGUUUGAGUGUCAUUA